UACAGGGGGUGCAAACGUUGCUCGGAAUCACUGGGCGUAAAGCGCACGUAGGCGGAUCGUUAAGUCAGGGGUGAAAUCCUGGAGCUCAACUCCAGAACUGCCUUUGAUACUGGCGACCUUGAGUUCGGGAGAGGUGAGUGGAACUGCGAGUGUAGAGGUGAAAUUCGUAGAUAUUCGCAAGAACACCAGUGGCGAAGGCGGCUCACUGGCCCGAUACUGACGCUGAGGUGCGAAAGCGUGGGGAGCAAACAGG
Molecule: ribosomal RNA, 253 nt
Filed under: uncultured bacterium
Lineage: Bacteria
Description: partial 16S ribosomal RNA
Rfam family: Bacterial small subunit ribosomal RNA
Source: RNAcentral